Molecule: ribosomal RNA, 253 nt
Filed under: uncultured bacterium
Lineage: Bacteria
Description: partial 16S ribosomal RNA
Rfam family: Bacterial small subunit ribosomal RNA
Source: RNAcentral
UACAGAGGUCUCAACCGUUGUUCGGAUUCAUUGGGCGUAAAGGGUGCGUAGGCGGUCGCGCAAGUCGGAUGUGAAAUCUUAGGGCUCAACCCUGAAACUGCAUUCGAUACUGCGUGGCUCGAGUACUGGAGAGGAGACUGGAAUUUACGGUGUAGCAGUGAAAUGCGUAGAUAUCGUAAGGAAGACCAGUGGCGAAGGCGAGUCUCUGGACAGUUACUGACGCUGAGGCACGAAAGCGUGGGGAGCAAACAGG